AUUGCGAACAGCCUCCCCCCUGCUCUCUGCAGACAGUGAAGAUUAAAUUCCUGUUUGUAGCCCCAAGCUGAAUAUGCCCAAUCUAAUUGGGUUAAGGUGCACCCCUCCCUGCCUGACCACAUCCACAUUUUCUCUGAUCGACAUGACAGACCACUAUCCCCCCCAACAGCUGAACAAAUCGGGAUAUGGACAUCUUACGAUGACAUCUUUCUAACACUUUUCCCUUUUCUGAAGCACGCCACACAGGACACGGAAUGACCUCAAGCCAUAUUA
Non-coding RNA from Pelobates cultripes (western spadefoot toad), 273 nucleotides. The record is from the annotation of a GenBank genome assembly. NCBI's taxonomy places the organism in Eukaryota, Metazoa, Chordata, Amphibia, Anura, Pelobatidae.